CCAAAGGGGAACCCUGGUCUGAGGAAUGUCCCAUCCCAUGAGCUGGUUUCCUGUGAGAUGUGUUCCUUGUUUUGGUCCCACCAGGUCCAGGUGAGAAGCUGGGGUGGGCUGAGGCUACCAAUGUGGCUUCCAGGCUCCUGCUCCUGGCUCACGCCAUGAAUCCUCAGUGUCCAGGCUGGUCACCUCCUGAGGGGCCCCAGAUGCCCACCAGACAGAGAAACAUGUCCCGAUGCCCUUUCCUUCCCAAAUGGAUCACGGAACUCAAGGAAAUCAGACACACUCAGACAAGCGAUGGGCCCCAGAAGAAGUCCCAAGGCAAAGGAGGAAAGACUGUGAAUGAAGAGGAAAAUGCAGCACACUGAAGGGGACUAGCACGGGAAGAGCGAGCGAAACCCAGCGCCAGCAAGAGGAAGGAAAUGACAACGCCACAGAGGAGAAAACGAAACGAAGGCUAGAGAAACGAGAGGAGGACCCGUGAAACCAGAAGCUGACUCUUUGAAAAGGUCAGGACGUUGGCAGAGUGUUAGCCUGGACGAUGGAGAAAAAAGAGGGAAGACGCAGUAACUCGAGGGAGAGCAGGGCACGUUGAGGCCUUUGGGAAAGGAAAGCAUUAGAGGAGGAACGGAACACGUUCCCUCCAAUUAGGUAAUCGGCACCUAUCUCGGAGCCGCCUGGGCACGGCACGCCGUGUUUCUGUAGCGGGGGCCCGGUAAUCUCGGUGACAUUCUUGGGAAGCUGCAGGAUGUUAUUUCCGUGGCGGAGAUGAAAGGCAUCCGCCCACUCGGGAUGGUGGCUGGGAGGCCAACCUGAGAUCUAAACUCAGGUUUCCUGGCUCCGAGCCCAGAGCUCUCCUCACGGUGACACAAUGCCCAGUACGCCGUGCGCGCGUGAGAUACUGUGGCUUGUUUGUUCCUUUUUCUCAAAAACAAGAGAUUCCAAGCUCAUGAAGU
Eptesicus fuscus (big brown bat) is the source of this 950-nucleotide long non-coding RNA. RefSeq lists it as uncharacterized. The transcript has 3 exons. The record is from RefSeq and is a predicted model, not a curated record. Lineage: Eukaryota; Metazoa; Chordata; Mammalia; Chiroptera; Vespertilionidae.